This 204-nucleotide long non-coding RNA is filed under the name Elaeis guineensis (African oil palm). Its description in RNAcentral is "long non-coding RNA (EGUI_LNC022844)". Lineage: Eukaryota; Viridiplantae; Streptophyta; Magnoliopsida; Arecales; Arecaceae. The record is from RNAcentral.
AUUGUCCAUCCGUCGAUCAUGCAGCCAUGCCUCAAACGAAGACAUCCCUUCAAUCUAAGCUGACAAGUAAAUUUGGGAUAUAAAAUGAGUCAUAUCCCAAGUCAAUGCGUUGACCAUUCGUUAGCCUGGAGUUUCUUUUGAUGAACAUCUGACCAAAAGGGCACCGUUCACUGGCCUUGCUGCUGGAAUGAGCUUUGUUGGCCA